RNAcentral lists this ribosomal RNA (737 nucleotides) under uncultured bacterium. RNAcentral's name for it is "bacterial SSU rRNA". It matches the Rfam family "Bacterial small subunit ribosomal RNA", at positions 48 to 753 of the family's 1533-position model. The record is from RNAcentral.
UCUAUACAUGCAGUCGAGCGAGCCGAACUAAUUGAUUACCUUCGGGUAUGAAGUUAGGGAAGCGAGCGGCGGAUGGGUGAGUAACACGUGGGUAACCUACCCUAUAGUCUGGGAUACCACUUGGAAACAGGUGCUAAUACCGGAUAAAAGGAGAGAUCACAUGAUUUCUUUUUGAAAGGCGGCGUAAGCUGUCGCUAAAGGAUGGACCCGCGGUGCAUUAGCUAGUUGGUAAGGUAACGGCUUACCAAGGCAACGAUGCAUAGCCGAGUUGAGAGACUGAUCGGCCACAUUGGGACUGAGACACGGCCCAAACUCCUACGGGAGGCAGCAGUAGGGAAUCUUCCACAAUGGACGCAAGUCUGAUGGAGCAACGCCGCGUGAGUGAAGAAGGUUUUCGGAUCGUAAAGCUCUGUUGUUGGUGAAGAAAGAUAGUGAGAGUAACUGCUCAUUAUUUGCCGGUAAUCAACCAGAAAGUCACGGCUAACUACGUGCCAGCAGCCGCGGUAAUACGUAGGUGGCAAGCGUUGUCCGGAUUUAUUGGGCAUAAAGCGAGCGCAGGCGGAAAGAUAAGUCAGAUGUGAAAGCCCUCGGCUUAACCGAGGAAUAGCAUCGGAAACUGUCUUUCUUGAGUGCAGAAGAGGAGAGUGGAACUCCAUGUGUAGCGGUGGAAUGCGUAGAUAUAUGGAAGAACACCAGUGGCGAAGGCGGCUCUCUGGUCUGUAACUGACGCUGAGGCU